Molecule: RNA transcript, 14733 nt
Organism: Diabrotica virgifera virgifera (western corn rootworm)
Lineage: Eukaryota; Metazoa; Arthropoda; Insecta; Coleoptera; Chrysomelidae
Exons: 2
Source: RefSeq, a predicted model, not a curated record
GUGUCUGCAUGUGAGGCGUGAGGGAAAAGGGAAAAGACUUUUAAAAGUUGUGUGAGUUUGAACAUGGUUUGUGUUUAUUUUGAUUAAUUUAUAAUGCUGUUAUUUUUACCUGUAAAGUAUGGUUUUGUGAGAAAAAACUGGCGAUGUAUUUCUUAAUGAUAAAGUGUUCCUUGUCCAUAUCCUGCCAAUAAGCCAAAACACCGACUGAACAAAAUGGGGGGAUUUAUCAUAUUUAUGAUAGUAGCCACGAUUAUUGGCGUAUCUGCUGUGUUUAUUAAAGCAUGCAUAGACUGUUUUAGUGAUAAGAAACCACGUAAAUCUCAAAACAACAACUUCGUUUCCGACAAUUACGAAGACGGAGUGAUCUUCACCAGUGAGCCCUAUGGAACCAACUACAGUGUUGACUCUGUCAACGAAGUUACACAUAUUCAUCACUUUGAAACCAGUGAUAACAUAGAUACGACACCAGGUGACACAGACAACACUGGAUCUGGAGUUGCCUCGGGUCUGGCGGGUGGUUUUGCAGAAACAUUUACUUCUUCGUUCGCUGAUCCAGGGGGGAGUUCCACGUACGAUUCGGGUGGAGGUGGCUUCGACUCUGGAGGCGGAGGAGAUUCUGGAGGAGGAGGAGAUGGUGGCGGUUCAUACGAUUAAGACCAUCCACACACACAGAAGCUAAAAAGAAACCAGUUAGUAACUUUAGUUACCAAUCAGUUACUUAGUAGUCACUGCCCAUGUAUUUUAAUGAGUGUCUGCACACAGCGCUACUAGUUAGCAGCCGGUCUAUAAUGUGGGAGUGAUCAGUCGACAGCGGACUGUACAUGCAGGUUGCUUGGGGACUAGUUUCAGUAGUUUCUAGCCUUUUGUGAUAUUUUAUUAAAGUUUAACACGCGAAAUUGGCGAAAGAGUCGUUUAAUAUAAAAUUAGUGCAAGAAUUUGAAAACAUCCGUGCCUAUAUAAACUUGAUUAACUAGUUUUGAUGGGAAAUAAGCCUCAAUUUUACUAAAAAAAAUGAUUUUAUUAACGUUUCGACGUCCAAAUCGGAUGCCGUUGUGAAAAUAAAAAAUAAUAAUGAAUUAAACAAAAAUGUUGUUGCUUAGUAAAAAAUUCUUCUAAUAAUUUAUUUAAUCUGACUCAUUUAUAUCGGCAAUUCAGACGUAAAUUAUACAUUUUAAAGAGCAGACUCUACCAAUAUUUAUGAGUUGCGUUCCUUUGACGACUUGACUGAAAGAUAGUUUAUUCGAUUACAUGAAAUCAACUCCAACUCAAGAAUAUCCGUCACAAAAAAAUCAUAACAUGUGAUAUGUCUUUAAAAAUACAACUAUAUGCAACGGUGACAAUAAAUAAUAACAACAAUAUCAUUUUAAAGUCUUCUACUUUAAAAUGUAAAAUAUAUGUCUAAAUUGCCGAUAUAAAUGAGUCAGAUUAAAUAAAUUAUUAGAAGAAUUUUUUACUAAGCAACAACAUUUUUGUUUAAUUCAUUAAUACUUUUUGUAUUUUGACAACGGUGAUCCGAUUUGGACGUCGAAACGUUAAUAAAAUCAUUGUUUAGUAAAAUUGUGGCUUAUUUCCCAUCAAACACUAGUUAAUUACAAAAAUUCCACAAGAAAAUAGCUUCAGAACAACAUAUUAUAAACUUAAACACCGCCUAACAAAGCUACUCAGUACAAAGUACAGUCAAGAAGUGACUCGUUUUAUUAAUUUUCAGUAGCAUAGUGUGCGAGACAAGAAUCUACAGGUCGAGCAAGUCUCGUAAAUUUCACGAUUGCGAGCCACGCUUCACGCAACCGUGUUUGCGUACUUGUGUUUCGAGUUGCGUGGUCGUGCGGAGUUAUAUUUACCAAUUCGCGCAAUCGUACUUGAGACAGGUGAGGUGUUUGAAAAUUUGUGUAACUUGAUUGCUUGAUUCUGUGGUGUGAAGGUGGUUAAACUUUUGUUUUAUUUUUUUUUGUUUUGUUUGUUUUUGUUGUUGCGAAUAUAUCGCAGAAAGUUUUUAGAUGAAGUAAUUGUAUGAUGAAGAUAACACAGAAAAUACAAGAGGGCAGCAUACUUUGCAAAACAACUGUUACAAUUUGAAAUCAACAAUUUGUUAAGUUGUUGUCUUGCAGGUAAAAAAAGUGACUUUUUAAAAAAAUUAUAUCUUGGAAACUAAAAAUUAUUUUUAUUUAUAAUUGAAACAUGUAAAAGUAUAGUACUCUCAAAAAAAUUUCAGCCAAAAAUAUUCAUUUUUGUAGAGUUGACUGCAAUUUUUCGACAACAGCCUUUUUUUGCGGUGAGCAGCAUAACAAGUCCAGUCUCAUCUGAAAUCAAAGUUUCUUGUAGUUUAUACCUCUGGCUAGUGAAUGAACAAAGGAUUUUUUAUUAGAUGAGGUCAUUUUUGUUUUAUAAAAAAAACUACUUUAAAAAUGAGAAAAAUUGGGGUCAAAAAUGUGUUUAAACUUAUGUAAAAUCUUCAAAUUUAAUUUUUUUUAAUUCCUUCGUUCAUAUUCUAGCCAGAGGUAUAAACUACAAGAAACUUUUUGAUUUCAGAUGAGACUGGACUUAGUUAUGCUGCCAACGCCAAAAACUUAAACUCUACAAAAAUGAAUAUUUUUGGCUGAAACUUUUUUUGAGACUACCUUAAGUACUAUACUUUUACAUGUUCCAAUUAUAAAUAAAAAUAAAUUUUAGUUUUCGAGAUAUAAUUUUUUUAAAAAGUCACUUUUUUUACCCACAAGACCUAUGUAACCCCUUAAAAAAAUGUUUGGAAGAAUAUGUUUGAUGGCCAAGAUGCAUACAUAUAUUUAGAAGGAAAGUUCCUGAUUUCUGUAGUAUAAUACAUAAUACCGAAGAGGAAGUAGCCCUAAGCGCCGGACUCCACUUGCGAUUUGUAGUUGUGAAGAUUGAACACAUUCUUUCAAAUAGAAGUCAAUCCAUGAUUAUUUAGUCACAAAUGGAUUGACUUGUAUUUGAAACAAUGUGUUCAAUCUUCCUGAUUACAAAUCGCAAGUGGAGUGCGGCGGUAAUAACACCAAAAUAUUCCAUAUAGGUCCAUAGAAGGUACACAGACAUUGAAAAAUUCCUGGAAUAUCCCCGAAAACAUGUUCCCUGAACAUCCCAGGAAAAUCCUGUGUCAGCAUUUUAAACAUUACCUGAAUGUCUUAUUGGAACAUUCCAUGAAUGUCCACGAAUGUUCUCUGGACAUUCAAAAUAUAUUUUGUAGACAUUCCCUGGAUAUACCAGAAAUACAGUGAUGAGCGCUCUAAUAACCGGCAAAAUAGCACAAAAGAUGUAUUAAGUAGUGAGAUAAAAAGACAUGAAACUAGUCGAGCUGGGAAAUUUAGCGAUAUUAACUUAUACAUUUAGAUUGUAUUGAUUGUGUACCACCUUCAGACGUAUCAGACGAGUUUGGAAACUACCAUGCACUGUCACAGUGACAGUUUUAGUUGACAUACUCCUCCGAUAUGUGUAAAGGUGGGAUCAAUAUAACGUAAAUUUAAAGGUUAAUUUCGCUAAAUUUCCCAGCUCGACUAGUUUCAUUUCUUUUUAUCUCACAACUAAAUAUGUUGCCCAUAUUUUGCCGGUUAUUAGGGCACUCAUCACUGUACAUCCUUGCUGAUGUGACAAUACCUCCUAUCUGUUUUUUCAUGAGUUUUGUAUGAGAGAUGGAAAAACAUGUUUUAAGGUCACCUCCUGUGUUCAUAUGUAAGUUUUGACUUGUUUUGUAGUUCAUAGAUAGUUUAAUUUACUACAAAACAAGUCAAAAAAUAUCAUAUGAAAACAGGAGGUGACCCUAAGACAAGUUUUUAGUCUCUCUUACAAAACUCAUGAAAAAACAGAUAGGAUGUAUUAUUACAUCACUGACGAUAUGUGGCCAUACCAAAUAAUACAUCCUUGAUAAAUAUAAACAUUUUUAUUGAACAAAAUCUUUUCAUACAUUUUUUUAAUGCAAUUUACUGAUAUUCCUAAAUAUUUCAAAAAAAUGUGUCACAUUUGCUUUGUAAACCUUUCUUUUGCCUUUCGUAGCCACAUAUUCCGUUUCCUUCCUGGUUUUUUGUAGACCACUUCUCUCAGCUGAUUCUAAAAAAAAUAAAAUAAAUGGUAAUUUUUCUAUCCUUUACAAUUAACAAUCAGAAGAAAUAUUAUUUACAGAUAAUGAUAUGCAUAAUAAUAAUAGGUUUGUUCUAGCAUCAGUUUGAAACCAUCAGCGAAUAGUGGACCAGCGCGAGUAGAGGGGAUCGCACUGGUGACUGUAUUAUGUUCUUUUACUGACCAACUGUUUGCUGAUGGUUUUUGACUAGUUUGACUGUUUGCUAGAACAAACCUAAUAAUAAUGAAUAUUUUGUAUUUUGACAAUGACAUCUGAUGUGGAAGUCAAAACAUUAAUAAAAUUAUUUUUUCAAGUUAACUUUCACAUGCGCGUCUUAAAAUUGUACUUUUAAUACUUAUAUCAUAAAUAACUAUUAAAACUAUCUUAAGAGGAAACAGUAUCGAUCAACAGGUAGCGAAAAUGUGUUCCAAGAUUGCGGCUGUAAUUUUGAAUAUUUUUUCAAGAUAUUUGGCACACAUAUUCGUAAUAUAAUAAAGAAUGGCGGUACAGAGCCCAAUUUGAAAAAUAUAUUAAUAUGUGGAAAUUACUCUGUAAUUAAAUACAAUAUAAAAAAACGAGCUUGUAAUGCAAUUAAGAAGAACAAAAAAAUACACUUUCUUCAAAUACAACUUUUUUAUCCGAUUUUGUGUUAUUUUGGAACUACUAAAAUUUUUUAUUUCAUUAGUAGUUCCAAAAUUACACAAAAUCUGGGCAUCGGAUAAAAAAGUUUAUUUGAAGAAAGUGUAUUUUUUUGUUCUUCUUAAUGGCGGUACAGGCUCGUUUUUUAAAUAUUGUAUAAUUACAGAGUAAUUUCCACAUAUUAAUAUAUUUUUCAAAUUGGGCUCUGUACCGCCAUUCUCUAUUAUUUUACGAAUACGUGUGCCAAAUGCCUCGAAAAAAUAUUCAAAAUUACAGUGACAAUCUUGGAAUACGUUUUGGCUACCUGUUUAUCGCUACUGUAUUACCUUAAAACAUUGUAAUUUGCUAAACCAGUAUAUUUUACUCUACUACUACUCUACUAGCUACCUCAUUUUCCACUGUUUCUAAAGACUUGUUUACAUGGGUAGAGUUUUGAGGAGAGUAGAGUAGCGGUAGUACUCUACCAAAAAUGGCUUGAUACCAUUCACAUGAGGAGAGUACAAGUAUAGUACUGAUGUUAGUAUAGUGAAACCAAUUUUUGUAUUUUUAAACACUCUUGAUUAUAAGUGCACCUUAAAUUCUUAAUUUUUUGCUUAAGCUCGUUUACUCCAAAGCCCCCUUUGCCAUUCUUUCGACGAUUUCAUCCUCCGCAGCUUGCUGCAAACUUUUAUUUCUGUAGUAUACACUACCUAAAUUCCAUAAACACUGGUAUUCGACGUAUUAUAGCUCUACAAGUUUUAAAGUUUCAUCUUCGGUGAACUUCAUUUUCACUAUUUACACAAAACACAAUUCCAGCCAGAAUGACAGCGCCCCCAUGUACUCUCCUACCUACUCUAUUCUGCCAUAAUUGAGCGUGUUCCAUGGGUAGAGUGUGUAGCCGAGUAGACAUUUUGGCAGUAGUGGUGGUCAUAGAGUAGUUACUUUGCCAUAGGUUGCUAGUCACUCUACUUUAACUCCAACUAUCACUCUACCAGCUAUUCUACUGUGCUGAGCAUUUUUACAGGUAGAGUUACCCUACUCUAUCAAGUACUUGCAUCAUUACUCUACCCCUGUAAACAAGUCUUAAAUCUACUGAAUGAAAAUCUACUUAAUCUUAAUUUACUCUUAAUGAAAAAUGUCUAAAAUCAUUUACCCACCUAGUAUUAUUGUAGAAUUUAAGACAGUCCAGUGCCUUAUAAAUAAUUUCAAUAUGAAUAUUUUUUCCUUUAAUUCUCCUUUGAUACCACUCCAUUUUAGAUUUUGGGGAACUUAUUUCAUUGUGUUUAUAGCCCAUAUUUAUUGAAGGAACCCAAUCUGGAGAUUGUUAUUAUCGAUUAAGUCGGCUGGUUUUCCUAUAAGAUUAAAAUGUUAACAUCUUCAAAAAUCGUUACUGUUGUAAUUGUAACUUACCAGAUAUAAAAUGAUUACAGCAGACAGGACAGGAAAAUUUUCAUUUCGCUAGUAAAACCUGUACAUUGUAUUGCAUUCAACCAUUGUUGUCUCUCAGAUACCUUAUUUAGUUCAGUUUAAAAGUGAACUUUAUCUUGACUUUAUCACAAUUACUUUGGAUUUCACACUUCAAAACACAACACCAAUGAAGCAUAUACAUAAUAUUAUUGAAUCAGUAGAAACGAUUAUAUUUAAAUUUGGUAAAUAUAACUCCGCACGACCACGCAACUCGAAACACAAGUACGCAAACACGGUUGCGUGAAGCGUGGCUCGCAAUCGUGAAAUUUACGAGACUUGCUCGACCUGUAGAUUCUUGUGUGUGCGAGCCAUAGUUGAUAACCAGUUGAUAAUUCUAGUUACCAACUAGUUUAGUUUUUUUUUAGUAGAUGUGUGUGCGAACGGCCUAAAUGUUCAAAUAGUCCGGACUGUAUGAUCGCACCCGUUACAUAAAAUAUUCCGAUUCGUUUUUGUGCAUAAAUUUACUCAAAAAGAGUAAGUUUGUGCUUAUAUAACAAAUCCACGGAGUGCCAGGUACCGCGGUCCGUAAAAUUGUUUAAAAAAAUUUUUUUAACAAAUUCAAAAAAUCAAUUUUUUCACUUAGGACAGAUUUUUUUUAGAUUUGUUGGAUCAUUCUGAGUAAAAAAGUCUCUUGUGAUUUUUCUCUAAAAUUGAUUGUUGUUGAGUUAUACGCGAUUUAAAAUUUGAAAAUCGCGAAAAUGGCCAUUUUCAAGGGUUAAUAACUCGGUUAACUUCGAGAGAGAUGCACUAUUAUACAGCAUGUCUUUCUCGUACUCACGCCUCAAUACGCGCUUAGCGCUCAUUGUUAAUAAUUAAAAAUAACGCUUUGUGAUAUAAUAGCGACAAAAAUUUCAUCAUAAUCUUGUAGGGGGAGCUUUAAACUUUGAUUUGGUCACUUUGUAACUUUCAUAAUAAUAACUUUUAACCAGUGAUGGGGGAGAGAGGGGAUAUGACAUAAGAGAUGCUCUUGUGUUUACUAAAUGGGACCACUUGAUUUGACACUUUUGGGGAAGAAAAUAUGGCGGCGGGCAGGUUUUUUAUGUUAUACGUGGAAUAUAUGUUGUUAAUUAAUUAUUAAAAUUUUAAUUAUAUAUAUAUUUAUAUAAUAUAAUACAAUUUUAUAAUUAUAUACUUUAUAUAGAACAGAAUAUACUGCCAAAGAGUUGUUCCGCCAUAUUGCCUUCCCCAUUUAGCCCGUGAAAGCGAUCCCAUCUACUUCACCUCAUGUCACAUCCCCUCCCUCCCACAUCACUGCUUUUAACCGAGUUAUUAAGCCUUGAAAAUGCCCAUUUUCGCGUUUUUCAAAUUUUAAAUCGCGUAUUACUUGACAACAAUCAAUCUUAGAGAAAAAUCACAAGAGACCUUGUUUGCUCAGAAUGACCCAAAGAAUCUAAAAAAUUUGUCCGGGGUAAAAAAAUUGAUUUUUUGAAUUUGUUCAAAAAAAUUGGUUAAACAAUUUUCCGACCGCGGUAACCCCUGGCACCCUGUGGAUUUGUUAUAAGGACCUCUUUUUGAGUAAGUUUGUGCAAAAAAAUCGGAAUAAUUUACCUAACGGGGGCGAGCAUAAAGGCUGCACUAAAGGUCCGUAAAGUUGGCUUGUCCACUUUUAUAUAACAAUAAAAUUUUCAUGCCAUAAUUUAGUGCUCAUUUAGUGCUAAUUUUGUACCGCAGUCCCGAAUUUUGUGCUCUUUAUUUAUUUAAAAAACAGGUGGACAAGCCAGCUUAACGUUAAGCUGGCUUGUCCACUCUUAGUACACAAUGAAAAAAUAAAAUAAUUCAGAUUCUAAAUAGGCUAUAAUUUAGUGCUCAUUUAGUGCUAAUUUUGUACCAUAAACAUUAUAAUGAAAUAUUUGUUUAAACAAUUUGUUAUAAACAACAUUUUAAAAAAUUAAAAAAUAGAAAAAAAAUUUAUGCUAGAAUUUAGUGCUCAUUUAGUGCUAACAAAAUAUCCAUAUCCUGAAUUUUGUGCUCUUUAUUUAUUUAAAAAAGCAGGUGGACAAGCCAGCUUAACGUUAAGCUGGCUUGUCCACUCUUAGUACACAAUGAAAAAAUAAAAUUAUUCAGAUUCUAAAUAGGCUAUAAUUUAGUGCUCAUUUAGUGCUAAUUUUGUACCAUAAACAUUAUAAUAAAAUAUUUGUUUAAACAAAACUUUUAAAAAUUAAAAUAUCGAAAAUUUUUUAUGCAAUAAUUUAGUGCUCAUUUGGUGCUAAUUUUGUACCAUAAAGAUUAUUAUAAAACAUUAAAAUUUUAAACAGUAAUAAAAACGAAAAUUUAUAGUGAUCCAAUUUAGCGCAAAUUGUGUGCAAAUAACUAAAUAAGACAUCGUGAGAUCAAAUUUGGUGCUCUUUAUUAAUGUAGAAAAGAAUAACAGUCUAAAUAUAAAGGCAUGGUGAUACAGUUUUAAUUGAUUUUAUUUAUACGUUUUUUCAACUUUACUGUAUAUUAGAAAUUCUAUGUUGACUUUUUUGUCCACAUCUUUGGUUAGAGUUCUUUGUGUUCCUGCAUUGAGAUCAUUAAACUCGGUCCACAGAUUAUUUCUGCGACAGAUUGUUGUGUAGUGUCCCAUGGACAGUUUUCCUAAUCCAUUAGUCGACGUAAGGUCAUUGUUAAUGUAACGGAUUACUCCUACCAGCAAAUAAUAAUCAGAGGUCCCAAGUACAUCGGGAAAUUUUAUCGGGAUGUUAUCCAGAUGAGUUAAUGUCCUGAUGUCCGUUAAUUGAAUUAAGAUAAUUGGACCUGUAAAGAAAUUAUUUUAAGUGUAUGGAUUUUCUUUAAUUUAUGUGUACACGUGAAAAAUAAAAUACUUUUGUUGAUUUUAAUCAUUUAAAACGUACCACUUGAAUCAUAUUGCACUUCUGAUUGUCCUAAGCAUCCUCUUCUGCUACAAUCUCUGUCAGCUGUUAAUGCUUCUUGCAUUUCCACUUCGCUUAAAGCUUCCUUAAAGAGUAAGUUAUCCAAAAAAUAAUAAUUCGUUUCUCGGGUUCUUUGAGGGCAACCAUUAUUACAGUUUAUGACUAUUCCGUUAAUUGGUAAUUUUUCAAUUCAUUUUAACAUCAUGUCAAAAGACAUCAUAUAACAAAUUAUUAAAAAAGAAUUUAUUUUACUAUUUUCAAAUUUUUAAAAAUUUUAUUUAUAACAAAUUGUUUAAACAAAUAUGUUAUUUUAAUGUUUAUAACUAUCUGAGCACUAAAUUAUAGCCUACUUAGAAUCUGAAUAAUUUUAUGUUUUCAUUGUUUAUACUAAGAGUAGACAAGCCAGAUUAACGUUAAGCUAGUUUGUCCACCUGAUUUUUUAAAUAAAUAAAGAGCACAAAAUUCGGGAUAUGGAUAUUUUGUUAGCACCAAAUGAGCACUAAAUUCCUGCAUAACAAAAUUUUCGAUAUUUUAAUUUUUAAGAGUGGACAAGUCAGCUUAACGUUAAUGAUUUUUUAUGAUUUUUUAAAUAAAUAAAGAGCACAAAAUUCAGGAUAUGGAUAUUCUGUUAGCACUAAAUGAGCACUAAAUUAUGGUAUACAAAAAUUUUCGAUUUUUUAAUUCUUAAAAGUUUUGUUUAUAACAAAUUGUUUAAACAAAUAUUUUAUUAUAAUGUUUAUGGUACAAAAUUAGCACUAAAUGAGCACUAAAUUAUAGCCUAUUUAGAAUCUGAAUAAUUUUAUUUUUUCAUAGAGUGGACAAGCCAUCUGAACGUAACUAGCUUGCCCACCUGAUUUUUUAAAUAAAUAAAGAGCACAAAAUUCAGGAUAUGGAUAUUUUGUUAGCACUAAAUGAGCACUAAAUUCUAGCAUAAAAAAAUUUUCGAUUUUUUAAUUUUUAAAAAUUUUGUUAAUAACAAAUUGUUUAAACAAAUAUUUCAUUAUAAUGUUUAUGGUACAAAAUUAGCACUAAAUGAGCACUAAAUUACAGCCUAUUUAGAAUCUGAAUAAUUUUAUUUUUUCAUUGUGUACUAAGAGUGGACAAGCCAGCUUAACGUUAAGCUGGCUUGUCCACCUGCUUUUUUAAAUAAAUAAAGAGCACAAAAUUCAGGAUAUGGAUAUUUUGUUAGCACUAAAUGAGCACUAAAUUCUAGCAUAAAAUUUUUUUCGAUUUUUUAAUUUUUUUAAAUUUUGUUUAUAACAAAUUGUUUAAACAAAUAUUUCAUUAUAAUGUUUAGGGUACAAAAUUAGCACUAAAUGAGCACUAAAUUAUAGCCUAUUUAGAAUCUGAAUAAUUUUAUUUUUUCAUUGUGUACUAAGAGUGGACAAGCCAGCUUAACGUUAAGCUGGCUUGUCCACCUGCUUUUUUAAAUAAAUAAAGAGCACAAAAUUCGGGACGGCGGUACAAAAUUAGCACUAAAUGAGCACUAAAUUAUGGCAUGAAAAUUUGAUUGUUAUAUAAAAGUGGACAAGCCAACUUUACGGACCUCUGCACUAAAAUAUACUCAAAUAAUGUGUAUCGGAGUAUAUAAGUGUCUCAAAAGUAGUGGAACGGUCGAAUAUUUCGCGAACUAAACAUCGUAUCAAAAAAUUGAAAAAUACGUCUUCAAUCAUUUUCAAAAAUCUCUCCAAUGACACCAAACACCAAUCCCCACUACACCCCCUGAAGGUGGGGUGGGGGGUAACUUUAAAAUCUUAAAUGGAAACCCCCAGUUUUUCUUGCAAAUUUGGAUUCGUUACGUAAAAGUAGGCAACUUUUAUUUAAGACAUUUUUUCGAACUGUGGAUAGAUGGCGCUAUAAUUGGGAAAAACGAUUUAUCCUGAUACCAUAGGUAAAUUAUAGAAACGGUCUAAUAUCUCACGAAAUACACUUCCAAAUGAGAAACCAAAAAACAGAUUUUUAAUAUUUUUUGAAAACCUAUCGAAUAACAUGAAAUAUGACCCUCCAACCCACCCCCUGGAUGUGGGGUGGGGUAACUUUAAAAUCUUAAAUAGACUUUUAUUGCAGAUCCCACUUUUUAUUGCAGAUUCUGAUUCGUCAUAAAAAAUUAAGCAACAUUUAUUCGAAACAUUUUUUAAAAUUUCUGAUAGAUGGCGCUAAUAAAUCGAAUUUUUCCAAUUAAGGCGCCAUCUAUUAACAAUUCUAAAAAAUGUUACUUAAUUUUUCAUGACGGAUCCGAAUCUGUAAUAAAAAGUGGAGGUUGUUAUUUAAGAUUUUAAAGUUACCCCCACCCCACAUUCAGGGGGUGGGUUGGAGGGUCAUGUUUGGUGUUAUUCGAUAGGUUUUCGAAAAAGAUUAAAAAUCUGUUUUUUAGUUUCUCAUUUGGAAGUGUAUUUCGUGAGAUAUUAGACCGUUUCUAUAAUUUACCUAUGGUAUCAGGAUAAAUCGUUUUUCCCAAUUAUAGCGCCAUCUAUCCACAGUUCGAAAAAAUGUCUUGAAUAAAAGUUGCUUACUUUUAUGUAACAAAUUAAAAUCUGUAAGAAAAACCCACCUCCAGGGGGUGUAGUGGGGAUUGGUGUUUGGUGCCAUUGGAUAGAUUUUUGAAAAUGAUUGAACACGUAUUUUUCAAUUUUUUGAUACGAUGUUUAGUUCGCGAAAUAUUCGACCGUUCCACUACUUUUGGGACACUCUGUAUAUUGUAUUGAUUACCUUAAGAAAUAAUAUGUCUAGGCUGUGCUUAUAAACUUAAUAUGUAUGCAAUGUGUAUGUUGAAACAUAAACUAUUUCAUCUUUAUUUAUUUUACGGAAUACUGAAACUACAAGAUAUUUAUGAGUAAAUCGAUAAAACAAUAUUUUUGUGUCAUAUUGUCCAAUGUUUAAGUAUGUACUGUAAUUAUAAUUUAUUUUAAUUUUUUUUUAUUUAAAUAUCAAAGUCGCCUCAACCCGAAGGUUGUUAGCGACAAUCCUGUGACCUUUAUGUAACAAUUUUUUAAGUAACCCAAUAAAUUUUUUUCAACAAAAUUUUUAUCAUAGAUAAUGUUUUCAUCUUAUUUGGAAAAUUGAAGAAAGUCUUUGAGUUUCAUAUUUAGGACAAUCUAUCAGGCAGUGGUGUUAAUUGUCUGUCGAUCGCAUUACAAGUUUCGCAUUUGGCAUUUGGAGGUUCGCUACUUGAGAAGAGAUAGGCAAGGUUCUACCUACAAUGUUCAAGACGUAGACGUGUCACAGUAUGUAUGAUAUAAUUCUUCAAUUUGGAAGAGUGAUAUCAUCGUUUAAAGGGAGAAUAUCUCAAAUUUAAAUGUACACGGCGGCCCCCGGAAACUACCUGUUUAAUUUGCGUUUUUCCCAUAAGAAAUCACAGAAUGUGUAAGUACUAAAUUUAUUUGUGCUUCUCUAUAGCAGAAUUGGUCUGCUAUUGUCAUAAAAAGCUUGAAUUUUGUCGACCCAGCGAUUGUUACCGUCAUAAAAAUGUCAAAAAACAUGUUUUUUUUCAAUAGUAAAAAUUAGUAAAACCUGAGGCAAUAAAUCAUGCAUCCAUAGAUAAUAGGGUUAGGUUACAAAAAAACCAGUUAUUCUUUACCACGUUCCUAUACGAGUAGCAAGACACGUUCAUUUACAUGGGCGGUUCUAUGGGAGUUGCAUUUUAUGAUUAUUUGUAGUGAAUUUUUAAUUAUAUUCUGUAAUUAUAAAUAAAUAUAAAUACUGUAUGUAAAUUAUAAAUACAAUGGACGAACAACCGAAUAGUUCUAAGAGCAGCACUGCAUCUUCAGAUUUAGACAGCGAUUAGUGUUUUCUAAUAGUUUAGUAAGUUUAUAGUGUUUGGUUUUUGCAAAAUAGGAAGUGGUUAAAUGCUCAAAUGUUUUAAAUUUACGGAAAUAAAAGGCAGAUAUCGAGCACUGAGUUUUAUUAAAUCUUACCCAAGUAUACUUUCGCUCCUAGAGCAUCUUCAGGGGCAUUUCGUUAAAAAGGAAGGUAUCCUCGAAUGUUAUUAACAUUUGUUUGAAUUAUGGUGGCAUCUUAUAACAUAUACUUAACAUACACUAGACAAAGGAUUCAAUAUGCAGAAGUACCCAAGUACCGGCAAUCAAUUUUUAUCCGUUUGUCAUUCGUCUCGUGUAUGUUAAGUUAAGUUCCCACCAUAAUUCAGACUAAAUGUUAAUAACAUUCGAGGAUACCUUCCAUUUUUGACGAAAUGCCCCUGAAGAUACUCUAGGAGUGAAAGUAUACUUGGACAAGAUUUAAUAAAACUCAGUGCUCGAUAUCUGCCUUUUAUUUCCGUAAAUUUAGUGUUUGUGUUUAAAUAAUUAGAAUAGUAGAAUAUUUUGUUACAUUAGAAAUUAUUUUUAUUUUGUUUUUAUGUGAUUUUAUUUUGUUUUAUAUUGCUUUGAAAUUUUUGUACUUAGUACUUAGGAAACUCAUUUUUCAACUGUGUGCAGAACGUACUGCACAAUUUUAUUUACAAAAACACGGAAGGGAACUUAAACCCAAAGUAACUCAUGAAGAAAUAAAAAAAAAUUUUGGGAUCCAUGCAGUGAUGGGUUGUUUAAAAUUUCCUCGAAUUCAUUUAUAUUAGAGCAGUCGCUUUAAACUUCCUGUAAUUGCGGAUGCAAUUCCAAGAGAUAGGUUGUACCUCUUGAGAGUCAAUCUUCAUAUUGUGGAUGUAUGCACGGUAACAGAAGAAAUUUAAAACAAUAAUCGUCUGUGGAGAGUUCAGCCAAUGAUCGAUUUAGUCAGAAGCCGAUGUCGGGAAUUAAAGAGAGAAUCUGAAGCUGCAUUCUCAAUAGACGAAUAGAUGAUUCCGUUUCAUGGUCGAUGAGUUUUUCGGCAAUAUGUAAAAAAUAAACCUAGACCUGUGGGUUUAAAAAAUUUCGUUUUAUCAAAAAGUGAUAGUACUGUCCUAGAUUUUUAAAUAUAUCAAGGAACAAGUACCAAUUUUAAGAAAUAAAGAACUGGGACUCGGACCGUCAGUCAUCCUUAGGCUAGUGGAAACGUUACCGGUUUAGCUUUGUAUUCUUCGACAGAUAUUUUUCGACGAUACCUUUGUUGCUCAAAUUAUCUGAGCUACAAAUACAUGGCACAGGAACUAAUAUGAACUAUUAUGAGCAAUCGUUUUAAAGGAUUUACAUUUAAAACAGAUAAUCAGAUGAAAAGAGGCGAUUCUGAGCAGGUUGUUAGCAGUGCUCAAAAGAUAUGUAUCACUAAAUGGAAAGAUAAUAAAUCCGUUUUAAUGGCAUCUACGGUUUUUGGUCAAGAACCCACACAUUUGGUCAAACGAUGGGAUAAAGCUAGUGCUAGUCGUGUAGAGGUUCAAAUCAAAAGAUAUUAAAGAUUUAUUAUCCUUUCGCUUAGAACUAGCAGAUUAUUUGUUAUGUGGAACGAAAAGUCCAAAUACAGAAAACGGGGACACAGAAGAUGAACAUGAAGACCCUCGUCCAAAGAAAAUGAGACCGUCACCUUUACCUUGCACUGACAAAAGAUAUGAUGGUUUUAAUCACUGGCCUGUCUUGGAAGAUAUAAAAAACCUUUAUGUUGCAGAUUAGAAUCCUGUAAGAGUAGGUCAAGAGUUUCAUGCAGCAUAUGUAAAGUUUAUCUCUAUAUGAGCCAAAAUUAAAAUUGUUUUUUUAACUUUCGCAACAAAUAAUGUGUUAAAAAUAUACUAGUUAUUAACGUUUGUAAUAAAUGACAAAAUGUGUACUUAAUAUUACUAAUAAAGGUUGUAAAAUGUUGCAA